CUUCAGCAGUGGUACCACUCACAGUAGCAGUUUAAGUGCGCAGAAGAUGAACGAAUCCGCCAAGGGCAUUUC
Molecule: non-coding RNA, 72 nt
Organism: Plasmodium vivax (malaria parasite P. vivax)
Lineage: Eukaryota; Apicomplexa; Aconoidasida; Haemosporida; Plasmodiidae
Source: the annotation of a RefSeq genome assembly